Molecule: ribosomal RNA, 1533 nt
Filed under: Candidatus Saccharibacteria bacterium 32-50-13
Lineage: Bacteria; Candidatus Saccharimonadota
Description: bacterial SSU rRNA
Rfam family: Bacterial small subunit ribosomal RNA
Source: RNAcentral
UUAUGGAGAGUUUGAUCCUGGCUCAGGAUGAACGCUGGCGGCGUGCCUAACACAUGCAAGUCGAACGGUACCAGGCUUUCACUGUCCGUUCCUCGCAACUAGUUUCUAGUUGACCCCGAGGAAUAGAGAGUGAAAGUGCUGGCGAGUGGCGGACGGCUGAGUAACGCGUGGGAACGUGCCCCAAAGUGAGGAAUAAGCACCGGAAACGGUGUCUAAUGCCGCAUAUGAUCUUCGGAUUAAAGUAUUUAUACGCUUUGGGAGCGGCCCGCGUCGGAUUAGGUUGUUGGUGAGGUAAUGGCUCACCAAGCCGACGAUCCGUAGCUGGUCUGAGAGGAUGACCAGCCAGACUGGAACUGAGACACGGUCCAGACUCCUACGGGAGGCAGCAGUGAGGAAUCUUCCACAAUGGGCGAAAGCCUGAUGGAGCAACGCCGCGUGCAGGAUGAAGGCCUUCGGGUCGUAAACUGCUUUUAUUUGUGAAGAAUAUGACGGUAACAAAUGAAUAAGGAUCGGCUAACUACGUGCCAGCAGCCGCGGUCAUACGUAGGAUCCAAGCGUUAUCCGGAGUGACUGGGCGUAAAGAGUUGCGUAGGUGGUUAUAUAAGUGAAUAGUGAAAUCUGGCGGCUCAACCGUACAGGCUAUUAUUCAAACUGUAUAACUCGAGAAUGGUAGAGGUAACUGGAAUUUCUUGUGUAGGAGUGAAAUCCGUAGAUAUAAGAAGGAACACCAAUGGCGUAGGCAGGUUACUGGACCAUGCUGUUGGGGGUAUCGACCCCCCCAGUAGCGAAGCUAACGCGUUAAGUAUCCCGCCUGUGGAGUACGGUCGCAAGACUAAAACAUAAAGGAAUUGACGGGGACCCGCACAAGCGGUGGAUCGUGUUCUUUAAUUCGAUGAUAAACGAAAAACCUUACCAGGGUUUGACAUCCUUGGAAUCUCUGCGAAAGUAGAGAGUGCUUUAUUGAGCCAAGUGACAGCUGUUGCAUGGCCGUCGUCAGCUCGUGUCGUGAGAUGUUUGGUUAAGUCCAUCAACGAGCGCAACCCUUGUGAAUAGUUGUAUUUUUCUAUUCAAACUGCCCCGGUAACGGGGAGGAAGGAGGGGAUGAUGUCAGGUCAGUAUUACGCUUACAUCCUGGGCUAGAAACACGAUACAAUGGUUAGUACAAUGCGCAGCGAAGCCGCGAGGUGGAGCAAAUCGCAUCAAAGCUAAUCUCAGUUCGGAUUGGAGGCUGAAACUCGCCUCCAUGAAGUCGGAAUCGCUAGUAAUCGCAGAUCAGCAAGCUGCGGUGAAUACGUUCCCGGGUCUUGUACAGCGAGGUGGAGCAAAUCGCAUCAAAGCCAGUCCCAGUUCGGAUUGCAGGCUGAAACUCGCCUGCAUGAAGUUGGAAUCGCUAGUAAUCGCAGAUCAGCAAGCUGCGGUGAAUACGUUCCCGGCUCUUGUACACACCGCCCGUCAAACCAUGAAAGUGACCAACACCCGAAGUCCGAUUCGUCGGCCUAAGGUGGGGGGCAUGAUUGGGGUUAAGUCGUAACA